This 486-nucleotide ribosomal RNA is filed under the name uncultured bacterium. Its description in RNAcentral is "partial 16S ribosomal RNA". It matches the Rfam family "Bacterial small subunit ribosomal RNA", at positions 29 to 507 of the family's 1533-position model. The record is from RNAcentral.
AUUGAACGCUGGCGGCAUGCCUUACACAUGCAAGUCGAACGGCAGCACGGGUGCUUGCCCCUGGUGGCGAGUGGCGAACGGGUGAGUAAUACAUCGGAACAUGUCCUGUAGUGGGGGAUAGCCAGGCGAAAGCCGGAUUAAUACCGCAUACGAACUACGGAUGAAAGCGGGGGCCCUUCGGGCCUCGCGCUAUAGGGUCGGCCGAUGGCGGAUUAGCUAGUUGGUGGGGUAAAGGCCUACCAAGGCGACGAUCAGUAGCUGGUCUGAGAGGACGACCAGCCACACUGGGACUGAGACACGGCCCAGACUCCUACGGGAGGCAGCAGUGGGGAAUUUUGGACAAUGGGCGAAAGCCUGAUCCAGCAAUGCCGCGUGUGUGAAGAAGGCCUUCGGGUUGUAAAGCACUUUUGUCCGGAAAGAAAUACUUGGCCCUAAUACGGUCGGGGGAUGACGGUACCGGAAGAAUAAGCACCGGCUAACUACGUG